Molecule: transfer RNA, 69 nt
Filed under: Ictidomys tridecemlineatus (thirteen-lined ground squirrel)
Lineage: Eukaryota; Metazoa; Chordata; Mammalia; Rodentia; Sciuridae
Description: Spermophilus tridecemlineatus (thirteen-lined ground squirrel) tRNA
Rfam family: tRNA
About the family: Transfer RNA (tRNA) molecules are approximately 80 nucleotides in length. Their secondary structure includes four short double-helical elements and three loops (D, anti-codon, and T loops).
Source: Rfam by way of RNAcentral
GGGACUGUGGCUCAUCGGUAGAGCGCUCGCCUAGCACACGAGAGGCCCUGGGUUCGAUCCUCAGCACCA